Molecule: ribosomal RNA, 365 nt
Filed under: uncultured beta proteobacterium
Lineage: Bacteria; Pseudomonadati; Pseudomonadota; Betaproteobacteria
Description: bacterial SSU rRNA
Rfam family: Bacterial small subunit ribosomal RNA
Source: RNAcentral
GAGUGGCGAACGGCCCCAUUAAUAUAUCGGGAACGUGCCCAGCUCGUGGGGGAUAACGUCCUGUAAAUUACGCUAAUACCGCAUACGAUCUAAGGAUGAAAGGGGGGGAUCGCAAGACCUCGCGCGAUUGGAGCGGCCGAUAUCAGAUUAGGUAGUUGGUAGGGUAAAGGCCUACCAAGCCAACGAUCUGUAGCUGGUCUGAGAGGACGACCAGCCACACUGGAACUGAGACACGGUCCAGACUCCUACGGGAGGCAGCAGUGGGGAAUUUUGGAGAAUGGGUGCAAGCCUGAUCCUGCCAUUCCGCGUGCAGGAUGAAGGCCCUCGGGUUGCAAACUGCUUCUGUACAGAACGAAAAGGUUUCU